GUUUAAUUCGAAGCAACGCGAAGAACCUUACCAGGUCUUGACAUCCUUUGACCACUCUAGAGAUAGAGCUUUCCCUUCGGGGACAAAGUGACAGGUGGUGCAUGGUUGUCGUCAGCUCGUGUCGUGAGAUGUUGGGUUAAGUCCCGCAACGAGCGCAACCCUUAUUACUAGUUGCCAGCAUUUAGUUGGGCACUCUAGUGAGACUGCCGGUGACAAACCGGAGGAAGGUGGGGACGACGUCAAAUCAUCAUGCCCCUUAUGACCUGGGCUACACACGUGCUACAAUGGAUGGUACAACGAGUUGCGAGACCGCGAGGUUUAGCUAAUCUCUUAAAACCAUUCUCAGUUCGGAUUGUAGGCUGCAACUCGCCUACAUGAAGCCGGAAUCGCUAGUAAUCGCGGAUCAGCAUGCCGCGGUGAAUACGUUCCCGGGCCUUGUACACACCGCCCGUCACACCAUGAGAGUUUGUAACACCCAAAGCCGGUGAGGUAACCCUUCGGGGAGCCAGCCGUCUAAGGUGGGACAGAUGAUUAGGGUGAAGUCGAACCAAGGGGCCAAU
This 560-nucleotide ribosomal RNA is filed under the name Latilactobacillus sakei. RNAcentral describes it as "bacterial SSU rRNA". It matches the Rfam family "Bacterial small subunit ribosomal RNA", at positions 944 to 1503 of the family's 1533-position model. Lineage: Bacteria; Bacillati; Bacillota; Bacilli; Lactobacillales; Lactobacillaceae. The record is from RNAcentral.